GGAGCAUCGUGAACGCCCUUAUGGGACGGAGGGAGUAGCUAGGUUUCCAAGACCCAACAACAGCUAGGCCAACACACAACCAGCCCAGCUGGUCCAUAUCCAGUAGUAACAGAACUAGAAGAAGAAGAAGAAGGCCCACGAGGAUAUCUCGGCCCAAAACUACGAUCCUUUUAUUUUCCUGAUAAAAAAAGUCGGGCUUCAGGCCCAGCAACAGCAAGCGAAGCGUAUGCACCCAGUAUUAUUCGACGGUUUCACUUCUCCGUAUGCAUCGUCACUGGACUAGAUUCGAUUCCAUGGGAGUUACUGCCGCUAAAAGGGGAAAAGAAAACAACAUUUCUGACUAUCAAAUCAUGGAGAUUUUGCAGAGUUAAAUUCUUCAACAACCAGCCUUUGCCAGCCUCCAGAGUCCACACAACACUUUGAGGAAGAAGAAGAGGUAGAUUACAGAUUUGAUCAGUUAGGAGGAACAUACAUCCAGUCAGCCCAAUGAUGCCUCCGAAGUUGCACAACACCAACAUAAGGACUACAGGAGGCAACAAAACAAAGCCCAAGCAGGAGAACCACUCAUUCUUGCAGAGCAGAGUUGUGUUUUCAGGGGACACCAUUUCUUAAUUUGUUCCGUCAACAACAGCGGCAGGUUUCGAUGAAGGAUAGCUCAUUCUUUUGCAUGAUAAUGAAACAAUCUGUAUUUUGUCAGUCCAGUGGCUGCUUAU
Non-coding RNA from Oryza sativa Japonica Group (Japanese rice), 713 nucleotides. Lineage: Eukaryota; Viridiplantae; Streptophyta; Magnoliopsida; Poales; Poaceae. The record is from RefSeq and is a predicted model, not a curated record.